This 108-nucleotide ribosomal RNA is filed under the name Caerostris darwini. Lineage: Eukaryota; Metazoa; Arthropoda; Arachnida; Araneae; Araneidae. The record is from RNAcentral.
AACGGCCGUACCAUGCUGAAUAUACCGGUUCUCGUUAGAUCACCGAAGUCAAGCAUCAUUGGGCGCGGUCAGUACUUGGGCGGUGACCUGGGAACACCGCGUGCCGUU